UUAGAAUUAAAUGCAAAGCAAUUGAGCAAUAUUUGAAUAAAGCCCAACAGGCAGUGAGUUGCCUGUGGUUUGGCAGGCAGGGAGGUAAGAGCAAAGGUCCUGUGGCUGGAAUAGAAAGAGAUGGAGGGUAGCGGGAGAGAAGUUCGAGAGGUGCCCCAGGACCAGAUCUCAGAGGGCCUCGUAGCCCUUGUAAAGACUCUGACUUUAUUCCACGCAGAAAGGAGCCAAGCACAGAGGACCCACACGCUCUGCUCAUGUGAAUGGUCCAUGUCUCCUCAUAAUGAGCAUUUAGGUUUGCAAAUCCACAUUUGCACUGUUUGGUUAACAACGCUUUGUCUCCCUGGGACUCUUGGGAUCCUGUCUUGGUAACUGCAACCAACCUUCCUUGAUGGUGGUCCAACUCAUCAGCCCUUUGCUCUUGCAAAUGGCAUUGCACAGUAAAGGACCAAAUGAGCAAAGCAGACAGGAUGUACAGCAUCCACCAAAGAAGAAAGCAACGUUGAGACAGGUGGACAGUCUGAGAACACAAUGGCUCCUGGAUUUCUAGAACACACUCAGCCGUGCAGAAAGCAACACGAGAACUACCAUUGUGAAAUCAGACCCCUCAUUAUUAAUAGUUCAUCUCUGUCCAUCCUGAUGGAACAAAAGCUCAAGGUUUCGUUGUCGUCCUGGGCAACAUUUAUAACACAGCCAUCAACAAGCCCUUGGAACCGCCCCGAGCCUUUGGCAAUGCCAAGAAAUCAACAUUUCAGCCAUGUGACUCCUCAAGAAUCUAAAAGUAAAAGAAAACUUCCAUGGGCCACAUGGUCACAUCUUCAAGAAGAAUUCUGGGUGCUCAGACAGCCACUUAAGCUAGCUGGGGAGCUUGUGCAGGGCACAAAUCUCUGGAGCCGCAGUUUUUCAUCUCUUUGGAGCUCAGAACCCAUUCUUUAAAAGAAUUCAUCUAGAAUUCCAAUACAUGACAAGGAUAAAAGUGUUGCGCUCUGGCUGAAAGGUAUGGGGACUCGUUUCUGAUGCGCUUUUGCCCACCACACUUUGUGCAGCUCCCCCUCUGCCCAAGUCCAGGGCACCAUAGAACACAGCAUGAAACCAACAGGGUGAGCUAGUGCAGCUGCAGAAGGAACAGCACUGUUAUCAACUGUAAUCGCACUUUUAGGUAACAUUUAUUUUGUAUGCAUUACAUGCCAAAGAUUAUUCUCAAUGCUUUACAUGUAUUAAUUUAUUGAAUCUCCACACCAACCCCAUGAGGUUAGGGACAAUUAUUAUCCCUCUCUUACAGACAAGGAAACCAAAGUUGAAGGAAAUACAAACUUUGCCCAAGGUAAUAAGUAGUAAAGCCAGACUUUGGUCCCAGGAAGUGAGAUUUCAGAACCACAGCCUUCUGAAUACCUGUCAAAUCAGUUCUGCCUCGUUACCCAGGUGAGCUUUUAAAUGUUCAGGAUUUGCCUGCAAGUGUUUAAUUUUAGUUUUUCUUCCCUUCCUUAGAAAGAGAAGACCAGGCAGAGGAGCCACUCAGGGUUCACCUGGACCCAAAGCCAGGUUUCUCCCUCCCCACUUCUCAACAUUGGAAAACAAAUAACUCCUCUCCUAGUGCCAGAGGAAUCUGAUAUCCCUGCUCUGUGUUUCUCUGGUGGAGGAACUGCGGCACUGAAGCCAGGCUAUAAAUAUCAGAGUUAAUGAGGCCGGACUCCUGGAGACCUAAAUGAAUGCAUUUUAUGGGUUUGUCAUACAUCAGGUUAAUAUGAUCCUGACAAAUAAUUAUAUGGAAAACUGGACAGGGACCCAGAAUGUCGUUAUUCCUUCUGAAUGUUACAGCAAGUCGUCUGGCCAAUUAAAGGGUGAUGACGCCAUUACCGAAGCGUGGAGCAGAACGGUAACAAUGCAGGGCCUACAGACAAAGGCGCUGUGGCCUGCACCCUCCAUGGCACCGGUGACACAGUUGUCAUCAUCUGACUCCUCAGUGAGCAGAGCCCCACAUCCAUGUGGACUAUCGUGGUGAGACCUGCUGUGUAUGCGGGAGCAGGAGGACAAAGGCACAAUGGGCUACUGAUGUGGUUUUCUCUGCCCUCCCCCCCUUUUUAAACAUCAACUAUAAGGUUUCCAUGUGGAAGGACAUUUAUAUACAUUGGGACUAUAGUUGUUGAUCUACUUGUUUCAACAUAGUAGAAUGAGUUGAGUACAUGGGAUUCUUGCUUGUCCAUUCUCGAGAGUGAAGACUUUAUUUAUUAUUAUGUAUUAGUGGCCAAUAGCCAGGGACACCAAACAUCUGGAAAUAUAAAAUGCAAUCCUGCCCAGUGAAAAAUCAUCUCAAUCAUUUUUCUUCACUUGGGAGAGUGAGUUGGAAAAAGUUCUCCAAAUCCAUCCAGGUCCACAGUCUAAUCAGCACAAAGACUGAGACGAUGAACCCACAACACAAAAAUUCUGGGAUCUGGGCUUCUGUUCAGAGAGAAAUAAUGCAACUCUCCUCUGGAUAAUUUGUUCAUCUUAGCUCUGUGUUUUACUGUCAUUGGAGAAACAAAGGCAGGACUCAGCACCAAGUUCUAUAAUCUGGAGCUACCACCGAGACAUUCUGCACAUGCCCAGAAGGAGCGGUUUGUUAUUAGACUGUAUUUUGUAUACAAGUGACCAUUUUUCAGUCAGAUAGGUGAUUUUUCCUACUUCCAUUCAUCCUAAUACUCCAUUUCUGCACUAUCAGUCAGAUUGGCUGAGCAGAAAGGCCAGCCUGUUCAUCAGUGUCUAGAAAUGCCAGGUGUACUUUUCUAAAGCCUGGAAUGCUUUUCACAAAACCCGGCCAACGCUCCAUCCAGACGGGCCUGCCCAGGGAGCACUGCAGGUGCUGCACUUGGUCCGACGGCUCUCUGGGCGGGGAGUGGUCUGGACCUCAUGUGGACCGUGAAGACCAGAGCUUUCCCACUCACACCUCCACUCUGCAAUGAGCUACCAUGGAUUUUAGAGAGAGCUCCCAGCAGCAUUCCUUACUAGUUCUGUGACUUCAUUUCUCAUAGUUGGCACAUAGUACAAGUUAGCUGUUAUUAUUAACAUUUAUUAGGGACCAAAUGCCACCAGCCAGCAUUAAGGCACUAUUAUCCUAUCCCUUGCUACUCAUAAUGCAGCCACAGAUCAGCUGCUCCUGCACUACUGUGAGCUUGUUAAAAACGCAGGCUAUCAGGCCCCAGCCCAGAAGCAGAGUCAGAAUCUGCAUUUCAGCAGGAUCCCAGGAGGGCUGUAGACACUAAUGUCUGGGAGACCCUGUGGUCUACAUUAGGUCCUGGCUUGUUGAAAAGGCCAGCCCAUCCACCUUCUGUGCUUUUUUUCAAAGGACAGUCUUUCCUAGUGUUUUCCUGGUGUUAAAACAUUUUUCCUAUAACCCAAAUCUAGGCACAUGGCCAAAUCAAAUGUGAAUUUGCUUAGUGGAAACAAUGAGACAGAAUAUUUGAUACCGAAUUUUGCCAUCACUAUGUUUAACUCCA
This is a long non-coding RNA of Nycticebus coucang (slow loris), 3470 nucleotides long. RefSeq lists it as uncharacterized. NCBI's taxonomy places the organism in Eukaryota, Metazoa, Chordata, Mammalia, Primates, Lorisidae. The transcript is spliced from 5 exons. The record is from RefSeq and is a predicted model, not a curated record.